Molecule: long non-coding RNA, 356 nt
Filed under: Capsicum annuum
Lineage: Eukaryota; Viridiplantae; Streptophyta; Magnoliopsida; Solanales; Solanaceae
Description: long non-coding RNA (CANN_LNC021473)
Source: RNAcentral
UGAUUUUGAGAGAUAAUGAGCUUAUCUUGGUGUAUUAGGGAUUUAAUCCCAUGUUAAAGAGGAUAGAGGGGUAGGAAUUGCUACAUUUGCCAUUAAUAAGAUGGAAUAGGAAGCUGAAAAUUGGCCUGGGGCUAUCUGCAGGGCGGCGCCCUACCUAGAGCAUCGGAGUACCCUGGGCGGUGCCCUGCCUAGAGCACCAGAGUACCUUGGGCGGCGCCCUUCCUCGAGCGGUGCAAGGAACAGGGCGGUGCUCCACUUAGAGCGGGGGAGGGACCCAGGCGACACCCCACUAUCGCCUUUUGCUACUAGAAUGGCAUACCAAACAUACCCUUAAGCUCGUUUAAAAAUUAUGAAAC